GCCUCUGUGGCGCAAUUGGUUAGCGCAUACGACUUGUACGUACCAAAGGAACCCCGUUUUAAGAGUCAAAACUAACAGCCAACAGCUAAUCGUAAGGCUGCGGUUUCGACUACCGCCAGAGGUU
This 124-nucleotide transfer RNA is filed under the name Penicillium digitatum. RNAcentral's name for it is "tRNA-Thr". Lineage: Eukaryota; Fungi; Ascomycota; Eurotiomycetes; Eurotiales; Aspergillaceae. The record is from RNAcentral.